CCGUGAAGAUAGCUCAUAAUGGGGCAGGGAACUGCAGGAGAAGAGUAAACUUAGCAUGUACAGCUGCUCUCAAGAAACUCUUUUUGGGGCCAGCCAGUGAGGCUUCCAGACGGUGUGGAAGCAAGCAGAUGGGGCUUGCGUCUUGGCUAAGUGCCCGUGGGCAGGUCAUUCAACCUUGCCAAGCUCGUUUACUCAUUCAUAAAAGGACCCAAACCUGGAAUAAAAUUACUUUGCAAGCACUUGGCUGGAGCGAGCAGACACAGUGGGGGCUAGACACAUGUCACGUGUUGAGGAUAACUAUUCUGUCUGCUUAAGUAAAGACCCCACCGACACUGGGCUUCCUGAUCCAGCUGCUCUGGAGGGCUGCGGAGGCUGUACCUUUAAGCCACUCCAGGCCACCUGGCGCUACAUGAGCUGCGCAGGGCUUGGGCAGCCUGUCUGUCCUUCCUUCUGCAUUGACUCGGCACACCAUACCCUUUCCAGGAGGCCUGACCACAAGGCACCUCUUGGGAUAUACUUGCUGUUCUCUUCUCCUUUUCCCUUCCUACCCAUAUGCACCGCACCGCACCCUUUCAAAGCCUGGUCUGUCAUCCUGAGCGUGGGUCCUUAUCUACCUUCCUCCUGCUCACAAAGUUGGCAAUUCUGUCUUAUCAGUUCAGCAAAAUAAUAAUAAUCAUAAUAAUGGCUAAUAUUUGUUCACUGUUUCCCCUGUGCCAGGCACUGUGCUAGCUCUUAAUGUAUAUUAAUUCAUCUAGACCUUACAAUGACGACUGAGACCCCACUUCACAGGUGAGGAAACCCAGGCUUGGCAGCUGGUUUGGUGUCCUUUAGCUCCUGCUGCCUGGGUUAAUUUCCUGGGAAUUUCAUGAGCCCCAGGACCUGCCUUGUCCAGGCAUCUGUGUGCCUGGGAGAAGAACCUGGGCUCACAAAGGUCCACUUGGGGAGGCCAGAUUGAAGUAGGGCGCAGUGUUCCAGACAACCUGGGGGCCUACCCUGUCCAUUCGAGGCUGUUCCUCCCUGGCUUCCAAAUUCCAGACAGAAUCAGUUUGCUGCUGCCGGUUCUGCCACAUUGGAUGCCUUCAGCAAAACAUCCAUCCACUCACGUGUCUCUCCAUUGAGUCUCCCAUCAUCUGGAGCACUAACUAUGUGCUGGGCACAGGGGAAAUGGAGAUAGGAUUAAGCCAGUGCCUGGCUCCAAGGGAGUCCGGGUGAUGAAGACAGUGACAUCACAAUGUGCUCAGUGCUUCGGGAUCUCAGAUGGGCCCCUGACCCAACCUGGGAGCAGUCAGGGAAGUCUUCCAAGAAAAGUGAGGUUCAAGGAAAGUGGUAGCAGGAACGUUGCUCCUGGAAGAAGACACAGCAAGCGUGAAGGCUGGGAAUUU
Molecule: long non-coding RNA, 1382 nt
Filed under: Homo sapiens (human)
Lineage: Eukaryota; Metazoa; Chordata; Mammalia; Primates; Hominidae
Description: HSALNT0068444
Source: RNAcentral